Molecule: ribosomal RNA, 492 nt
Filed under: uncultured bacterium
Lineage: Bacteria
Description: partial 16S ribosomal RNA
Rfam family: Bacterial small subunit ribosomal RNA
Source: RNAcentral
AGUGAACGCUUUCUUUCUUCCUAACACAUGCAAGUCGAACGGCAGCACAGUAAGAGCUUGCUCUUACGGGUGGCGAGUGGCGGACGAGUGAGGAAUACAUCGGAAUCUACUUUUUCGUGGGGGAUAACGUAGGGAAACUUACGCUAAUACCGCAUACGACCUACGGGUGAAAGCAGGGGAUCUUCGGACCUUGCGCGAUUGAAUGAGCCGAUGUCGGAUUAGCUAGUUGGCGGGGUAAAGGCCCACCAAGGCGACGAUCCGUAGCUGGUCUGAGAGGAUGAUCAGCCACACUGGAACUGAGACACGGUCCAGACUCCUACGGGAGGCAGCAGUGGGGAAUAUUGGACAAUGGGCGCAAGCCUGAUCCAGCCAUACCGCGUGGGUGAAGAAGGCCUUCGGGUUGUAAAGCCCUUUUGUUGGGAAAGAAAAUCAGCAGGUUAAUACCCCGCUGUUCUGACGGUACCCAAAGAAUAAGCACCGGCUAACUUCGUG